GGGUUGUGAGGUUAAGCGACUAAGCGUACACGGUGGAUGCCCUGGCAGUCAGAGGCGAUGAAGGACGUGCUAAUCUGCGAUAAGCGUCGGUAAGGUGAUAUGAACCGUUAUAACCGGCGAUUUCCGAAUGGGGAAACCCAGUGUGAUUCGUCACACUAUCAUUAACUGAAUCCAUAGGUUAAUGAGGCGAACCGGGGGAACUGAAACAUCUAAGUACCCCGAGGAAAAGAAAUCAACCGAGAUUCCCCCAGUAGCGGCGAGCGAACGGGGAGGAGCCCAGAGCCUGAAUCAGUGUGUGUGUUAGUGGAAGCGUCUGGAAAGGCGUGCGAUACAGGGUGACAGCCCCGUACACAAAAAUGCACAUGCUGUGAGCUCGAUGAGUAGGGCGGGACACGUGGUAUCCUGUCUGAAUAUGGGGGGACCAUCCUCCAAGGCUAAAUACUCCUGACUGACCGAUAGUGAACCAGUACCGUGAGGGAAAGGCGAAAAGAACCCCGGCGAGGGGAGUGAAAAAGAACCUGAAACCGUGUACGUACAAGCAGUGGGAGCCUCUUUAAUGGGGUGACUGCGUACCUUUUGUAUAAUGGGUCAGCGACUUAUAUUCUGUAGCAAGGUUAACCGAAUAGGGGAGCCGAAGGGAAACCGAGUCUUAACUGGGCGUUAAGUUGCAGGGUAUAGACCCGAAACCCGGUGAUCUAGCCAUGGGCAGGUUGAAGGUUGGGUAACACUAACUGGAGGACCGAACCGACUAAUGUUGAAAAAUUAGCGGAUGACUUGUGGCUGGGGGUGAAAGGCCAAUCAAACCGGGAGAUAGCUGGUUCUCCCCGAAAGCUAUUUAGGUAGCGCCUCGUGAAUUCAUCUCCGGGGGUAGAGCACUGUUUCGGCAAGGGGGUCAUCCCGACUUACCAACCCGAUGCAAACUGCGAAUACCGGAGAAUGUUAUCACGGGAGACACACGGCGGGUGCUAACGUCCGUCGUGAAGAGGGAAACAACCCAGACCGCCAGCUAAGGUCCCAAAGUCAUGGUUAAGUGGGAAACGAUGUGGGAAGGCCCAGACAGCCAGGAUGUUGGCUUAGAAGCAGCCAUCAUUUAAAGAAAGCGUAAUAGCUCACUGGUCGAGUCGGCCUGCGCGGAAGAUGUAACGGGGCUAAACCAUGCACCGAAGCUGCGGCAGCGACACUGUGUGUUGUUGGGUAGGGGAGCGUUCUGUAAGCCGUUGAAGGUGGCCUGUGAGGGUUGCUGGAGGUAUCAGAAGUGCGAAUGCUGACAUAAGUAACGAUAAAGCGGGUGAAAAGCCCGCUCGCCGGAAGACCAAGGGUUCCUGUCCAACGUUAAUCGGGGCAGGGUGAGUCGACCCCUAAGGCGAGGCCGAAAGGCGUAGUCGAUGGGAAACAGGUUAAUAUUCCUGUACUUGGUGUUACUGCGAAGGGGGGACGGAGAAGGCUAUGUUGGCCGGGCGACGGUUGUCCCGGUUUAAGCGUGUAGGCUGAUUUUCCAGGCAAAUCCGGAGAAUCAAGGCUGAGGCGUGAUGACGAGGCACUACGGUGCUGAAGCAACAAAUGCCCUGCUUCCAGGAAAAGCCUCUAAGCAUCAGGUAACAUCAAAUCGUACCCCAAACCGACACAGGUGGUCAGGUAGAGAAUACCAAGGCGCUUGAGAGAACUCGGGUGAAGGAACUAGGCAAAAUGGUGCCGUAACUUCGGGAGAAGGCACGCUGAUAUGUAGGUGAAGCGACUUGCUCGUGGAGCUGAAAUCAGUCGAAGAUACCAGCUGGCUGCAACUGUUUAUUAAAAACACAGCACUGUGCAAACACGAAAGUGGACGUAUACGGUGUGACGCCUGCCCGGUGCCGGAAGGUUAAUUGAUGGGGUCAGCCGCAAGGCGAAGCUCUUGAUCGAAGCCCCGGUAAACGGCGGCCGUAACUAUAACGGUCCUAAGGUAGCGAAAUUCCUUGUCGGGUAAGUUCCGACCUGCACGAAUGGCGUAAUGAUGGCCAGGCUGUCUCCACCCGAGACUCAGUGAAAUUGAACUCGCUGUGAAGAUGCAGUGUACCCGCGGCAAGACGGAAAGACCCCGUGAACCUUUACUAUAGCUUGACACUGAACAUUGAGCCUUGAUGUGUAGGAUAGGUGGGAGGCUUUGAAGUGUGGACGCCAGUCUGCAUGGAGCCGACCUUGAAAUACCACCCUUUAAUGUUUGAUGUUCUAACGUGGACCCGUGAUCCGGGUUGCGGACAGUGUCUGGUGGGUAGUUUGACUGGGGCGGUCUCCUCCUAAAGAGUAACGGAGGAGCACGAAGGUUGGCUAAUCCUGGUCGGACAUCAGGAGGUUAGUGCAAUGGCAUAAGCCAGCUUGACUGCGAGCGUGACGGCGCGAGCAGGUGCGAAAGCAGGUCAUAGUGAUCCGGUGGUUCUGAAUGGAAGGGCCAUCGCUCAACGGAUAAAAGGUACUCCGGGGAUAACAGGCUGAUACCGCCCAAGAGUUCAUAUCGACGGCGGUGUUUGGCACCUCGAUGUCGGCUCAUCACAUCCUGGGGCUGAAGUAGGUCCCAAGGGUAUGGCUGUUCGCCAUUUAAAGUGGUACGCGAGCUGGGUUUAGAACGUCGUGAGACAGUUCGGUCCCUAUCUGCCGUGGGCGCUGGAGAACUGAGGGGGGCUGCUCCUAGUACGAGAGGACCGGAGUGGACGCAUCACUGGUGUUCGGGUUGUCAUGCCAAUGGCACUGCCCGGUAGCUAAAUGCGGAAGAGAUAAGUGCUGAAAGCAUCUAAGCACGAAACUUGCCCCGAGAUGAGUUCUCCCUGAGACUUUAAGUCUCCUGAAGGAACGUUGAAGACGACGACGUUGAUAGGCCGGGUGUGUAAGCGCAGCGAUGCGUUGAGCUAACCGGUACUAAUGAACCGUGAGGCUUAACCUUACAACGCCGAAG
Molecule: ribosomal RNA, 2926 nt
Filed under: Escherichia sp. 20412-1
Lineage: Bacteria; Pseudomonadati; Pseudomonadota; Gammaproteobacteria; Enterobacterales; Enterobacteriaceae
Description: bacterial LSU rRNA
Rfam family: Bacterial large subunit ribosomal RNA
Source: RNAcentral